UACGGAGGAUGCAAGCGUUAUCCGGAAUGAUUGGGCGUAAAGCGUCCGCAGGUGGCUAUGUAAGUCUGCUGUUAAAGAGUCUAGCUCAACUAGAUAAGAGCAGUGGAAACUACAUGGCUAGAGUGCGUUCGGGGCAGAGGGAAUUCCUGGUGUAGCGGUGAAAUGCGUAGAGAUCAGGAAGAACACCGGUGGCGAAGGCACUUUACUGGGCUAUUACUAACACU
RNAcentral lists this ribosomal RNA (224 nucleotides) under uncultured bacterium. RNAcentral describes it as "partial 16S ribosomal RNA". It matches the Rfam family "Bacterial small subunit ribosomal RNA", at positions 524 to 747 of the family's 1533-position model. The record is from RNAcentral.